UGGGGAAUCUUGCACAAUGGGGGAAACCCUGAUGCAGCGACGCCGCGUGAGCGAUGAAGCCCUUCGGGGUGUAAAGCUCUUUCGUCAGGGAAGAUAGUGACGGUACCUGGAGAAGCAGCUGCGGCUAACUACGUGCCAGCAGCCGCGGUAAUACGUAGGCAGCAAGCGUUGUUCGGAGUUACUGGGCGUAAAGGGUGUGUAGGCGGUCUCUUAAGUUUGCUGUGAAAUCUCCCGGCUUAACCGGGAGGGUGCGGUGAAUACUGAGGGACUAGAGUACGGGAGAGGAAAGUGGAAUUCCUGGUGUAGCGGUGAAAUGCGUAGAUAUCAGGAGGAACACCGGUGGUGUAGAUGGCUUUCUGGACCGUAACUGACGCUGAGACACGAAAGCGUGGGUAGCAAACAG
RNAcentral lists this ribosomal RNA (403 nucleotides) under uncultured bacterium. Its description in RNAcentral is "bacterial SSU rRNA". It matches the Rfam family "Bacterial small subunit ribosomal RNA", at positions 355 to 775 of the family's 1533-position model. The record is from RNAcentral.